GUUCACGGCACUUUACGACAGCGCGCCGGCUUCCGCGCCGGUGAGCGGGGCGGGAGGUCGGGUCGGCAGGUCAGGGCCCGGCUGGAGCUGAGGUGACCCGCCCGCGGCCGGGACGUGGAGGAGAGAACCUAGGAGGAGCUGUUUGUGAGCUUAUUUAGGCAGACGGACGUCACCGCGCCCGUGCAGCAGAGGUGAUGGGCCCGUCCCGAGGCCUUACUGGGAGGAUGCGCAGAAGGGGCUCCGCACGGCGCCGCAGUUGGUGAUGUUGGCGGACGGAGAGAUGGAGUUCGGCAUUUUACAGCUACCUGGUGUCCACCGGGCUGCGCUGUGACAGCGAGCCUCCUUUAUCGCACCGCGAUGCUCCACACCAAUAAGAAGGAAAGUUGGGGUACAUUCAUACAAUACGAUACAGAUGGACAACAAUGAAAAAGAACAAAGUUCGUGACAAGAAAGGACAUGGAGCAGACGAUACCGUGGAAUGGGCCGUAGCUUGUGUAUAGCAAAGUCCACAACAUCGUAACACAUGGAACCUCUUUCUGGAUGCUUGACGGGCCCCAGAUAACCACAGUUGAUGUGUGUCAUGGUUUUGGGGGGACUGUUGGUAGGGUGUUGUCCAGGGAUCCUAACUCGGUGCAGAUGGACAGCCUUGCGGAUGGACUUCAGCCUACAGACGUGCUGACAGGACCCUUCAGGCUGCCCAGACACAUUUCUGAGUGUGGACUGAUCCUAACUACAUCUACUGGUUUCUGAGACACAGAGCUGGCUGCUAUUUUGUCAGCUGUACUGGUGUUGGGGAGAGACAAAGAAUGAGUAUUCUACUUAGGGCAUUCCUUCUCUUAGCUGCCGUUUGAAGAUACUUGAUGAGCAUUACAUCCAAAUAGGUAAGUGAGUAUAAUUACUAGACUCUGGGAAGACACGGAAAUGUCGAUCUUCCACCCAGCACACUCACUAAUGGAACCCUUCUGAGCCGCAUAGACAAGUUCCCUUUCUGAACCCUGCUUCCUGGGCUGAUGUUUUCAUAUGGUCUCUCUGUGCAUUAAAGGCACUGGCUGGGCUGUAGUCUGGCUGCCAUUCCUUACCACCGGGAAAAGUUCCCUGUGAUGUGUGGAUACAUUUGGCCAGCUCUCAGUCCUUCUAGGCUCACCCCUCUACUGCAGUCUAUAUUUUCAGUUUUGAUAUUUAUACCGAAGGUCUCAUCCCUUUUGCAAAGCAAGAGCCCAAAAGAGCUAGGUCCUCCCCUGUGGGAACUGCCAGGGUGACUGAGUGCAGUGAACCGAUUGUGCACUGCACGGCCGCAGGAAGUGCCACUCACAUGGAUGCCAGACGACCUGCUCUGGUGGACGUGGUGGCCCAGUGACCCUUGUUCACCUGCUGUGCCCCUGCUUGAAUCUCAUGUUACCUGAUAUUCUUGGUUUGCUUUUGUCCCUGGGAAUAGUCUACCUUGGACACAUGACUAGCUAGGAGUUAAACUUCAGUGUUGUCUCUAGUCUCCCCCUACUGAUGUGGUUUUUUUCAGGGAAUACAGGGUUCCUCAUCUUGUGUGAUGAGCAUGACUCCUUACCUUUCUCUGGAUUGCAGUGCAUCUCUUCUCCCUCUUUUACAGAGAACGUGUCUCAUCUAUAGCCUCUUCCAUAGUUCUGCCUACUCCUCCCUGCUGGCUUUCCCCUUCUGCAUAUUAGAGUGUACCCGACUUAAUGGUCAGCACCCCCUUCCUCUGAGUUUUGCACAUCUAGCUGUUUCCAGUACAACUCAAUGAGAGCCUAGGAGGGCUUAUCCACUCCCGUGGCUCCACGGUCACUGUUAAAGUUAUGGCUUUCCUAACUUCCUGUUCUCUGAAUGGAUGUUGCCUGGGGCUCUGGCCAGGUGAAGGGCUUUCUGCUGUUAGGGGGCCUGCACCUCCUUUUUUCUCUGGUUUGGACUUGCUGUGGAGAACAACCAGUAUACGAACCAUGCAGCCCCUCUCUGUACCUGGCCAGAGUCAAGUCAACUGCACUUGGCAACAACCUACCCGUGGCCCCUGAAGAAGUGUUCCUAGGAGAUCAGUGUCCGGGAACCUCGGUGCCUGACGGCUUUUAUGAAUCCCGAUACCAUCCCACUGGUUGUACCAUUAGGAUUGAGGUCCUCCCAGGGGAUCGUCUCCUUUUUUUAUCUGAUUUUUAAGUCAGUGUUCUCCACUCUUGAAGCUUCAGUACCUGUGGCCUGAGCUGUGCCCCGCCACCCAGCUCCUGUAAGAGGAAGCACGGGAAAUGUUCAAAUAAACAAGGUGGUCCCCCCCAAAAGAUCAGGAAUAGCAAAUCUAUACAGUGGAGAGACAAGCAGAAAUUCAAGACGAUGCUCAAUUUUGCUACUUUAAAACGUCACCUGGCUGAUCUUGCUCCCCCUGAGAGUUCAGAAGCUGAGAGAGCCCUCACAGCUGUGACAUAGGAGGACUGCUGUAGGGGCCGGAAUCGGCCUCAGGACCCUGUUCCUUAUCUUACAUUUCUAAACAUUUUAGAUUUCAUUUUUAAUGGAGUGGAUCUUUGUGGUUUUACUAUCCUUUAUCUAGAAGGGUCUGCCUCUGUUUUUAACCUCAUACGUACUUUCUAAUAAAAUUUUCUUGAAUUCAUGGCAUUCCUGUCUGUAUUUUCACUUUCAAUUUUUUUUCCUGAGCUGCCAACCCAGCUAUUGAACCGCAGGCCUGCUGCUCUUAGUGUUCCACUAAGAACUGAACCUCUUCCCACCAGACAUGCUUUCUUCCCCAGUCGCCUGCAGUGAGGAGCGCACAGCCACACCGAGCCCUCAGCCUCACUGGUGCUGACCCCUCAGCUUGAAAUCCUUCAGUGCUUCCCAGCACCUGGAACAUAGAAUCCAGACUUCUUGUCAUCGUGUGUAUAAGGCCUUUGGUGUUCUGGCCGGUGUUUCUCUAACUGCAACUCUGACCUCUGCUGCGUGCCACUCACCUGCAGUCAGGACCGAGGCGCCCCGCCUCCCCCCAACCUCCACACCACCUCUCCCAAGCGUGCCCCUUCCUCCUGGGUACUCCCUGCUCAGCUCUCACACUUCAGUCCAAUGUCACUUCUUCCAGGCCCUGCUUCUCUUCCUCAUCCACUCACCUGGCAGUGACAUUCUUCCUGUUUCCUGUUCCUUCCAUGGCACCAAGCAUUUCUACUGUCCACGUUGGUCCGAGUCUUCCCUAGACUGGAAGCUCCCUGACGGCAAGAACUGUCUUAUCUUUGUGUCCGGUCGACUAGAAUGUACCUGUGCAACAGACUUAAUAAA
This is a long non-coding RNA of Myotis myotis, 3258 nucleotides long. RefSeq lists it as uncharacterized. The record is from RefSeq and is a predicted model, not a curated record. The transcript is spliced from 5 exons. Lineage: Eukaryota; Metazoa; Chordata; Mammalia; Chiroptera; Vespertilionidae.